GCGUCUGUAGCUCAAUAGGAUAGAGCAACGGCCUUCUAAGCCGUUGGUUGCAGGUUCAAGUCCUGCUGGACGUA
RNAcentral lists this transfer RNA (74 nucleotides) under Candidatus Portiera aleyrodidarum (primary endosymbiont of Bemisia tabaci). RNAcentral describes it as "tRNA-Arg (TCT) (tRNA-Arg-TCT-1-1)". It matches the Rfam family "tRNA". Rfam says of the family: Transfer RNA (tRNA) molecules are approximately 80 nucleotides in length. The record is from RNAcentral. Lineage: Bacteria; Pseudomonadati; Pseudomonadota; Gammaproteobacteria; Johnevansiales (SeqCode); Johnevansiaceae (SeqCode).